This 147-nucleotide non-coding RNA is filed under the name Gorilla gorilla gorilla (western lowland gorilla). Lineage: Eukaryota; Metazoa; Chordata; Mammalia; Primates; Hominidae. The record is from Rfam by way of RNAcentral.
GCUGGGCGUGGUGGUGCGUGCCUGUAAUCCCAGCUGCUUGGGAAGCUGAGGCAGAGAAUUGCUUGAACCCAGGAGGUGGAGGUUGCAGUGAGCCAAGAUUGCACCACUGCACUCCAGCCUGGGUGACAGAGUGAGACUCUGUCUCAA